GCCGUAGCGAAAGCGAGUUUUAACUGAGCGUUCAGUUACUUGACGUAGACCCGAAACCGGGCGACCUACCCAUGAGCAGGAUGAAGCGAAAGUAAAAUUUCGUGGAGGUCCGAACCCACGAGCGUUGAAAAGCUCGGGGAUGACUUGUGGGUAGCGGUGAAAUUCCAAUCGAGCCCGGAGAUAGCUGGUUCUCCCCGAAAUAGCUUUAGGGCUAGCCUCAAGGUGAGAGAUACGGAGGUAGAGCACUGAAUGUCCUAGGGGGUAUUGCACCUACCGAAGACUAUCAAACUCCGAAUGCCGUCAUCUUAUACUUGGGAGUCAGACUGUGGGUGAUAAGAUUCAUAGUCGAAAGGGCAACAGCCCAGAUCGUCAGCUAAGGUCCCUAAAUGUAAGUUAAGUGGUAAAGGAUGUGGGAUUGCACAGACAACCAGGAUGUUGGCUUAGAAGCAGCCACUCAUUCAAAGAGUGCGUAAUAGCUCACUGGUCGAGUGAUCCUGCGCCGAAGAUUUCCGGGGCUAAAACUUACUACCGAAGCUACGGCAUCAGUAAUGAUGGGUAGGGGAGCUUCCCAUACGGGUUGAAGCAUGACCGUAAGGACAUGUGGACAGUAUGGGAGUGAGAAUGUUGGCAUGAGUAGCGAGAUGUGGGUGAGAAUCCCACAGGCCGUAAACCCAAGGUUUCCAGGGGAAGGUUCGUCCGCCCUGGGUUAGUCGGGACCUAAGCUGAGGCCGAAAGGCGUAGGUGAUGGACAACAGGUUGAUAUUCCUGUACUACCGAUAACCGUUUGAGAGAAGGGAUGACACAGUAGGAUAAGCUAAGCACACUGUUGGUUAUGUGUGCCCAAGCAUUGAGGCAGUCAAAGUAGGCAAAUCCGCUUUGAUAAUGCUGGGAUGUGAUGGGGAGCGAAAUUUAGUAGCGAAGUAGCUGAUUUCACACUGUCAAGAAAAGUCUCUAUCGAGGUUAAAGGUACCCGUACCGCAAACCGACACAGGUGGGUGAGGAGAGUAUCCUAAGGCCAGCGAGAGAACUGUUGUUAAGGAACUCGGCAAAAUGACCCCGUAACUUAGGGAUAAGGGGUGCCACCAUCAGGUGGCCGCAGAGAAUAGGCCCAAGCGACUGUUUACCAAAAACAUAGGUUUCUGCUAAGUCGCAAGACGAUGUAUAGGAGCUGACGCCUGCCCGGUGCUGGAAGGUUAAGGGGAUCUGUUAGAG
This 1212-nucleotide ribosomal RNA is filed under the name Clostridioides difficile. RNAcentral's name for it is "partial 23S ribosomal RNA". It matches the Rfam family "Bacterial large subunit ribosomal RNA", at positions 665 to 1895 of the family's 2925-position model. Lineage: Bacteria; Bacillati; Bacillota; Clostridia; Peptostreptococcales; Peptostreptococcaceae. The record is from RNAcentral.